CCUACGGGACGCAGCAGUGAGGAAUAUUGGUCAAUGGGUGGAAGCCUGAACCAGCCAAGUCGCGUGAGGGAAUAAGGCCCUACGGGUCGUAAACCUCUUUUGCCGGGGAGCAAGGGCCGGGACGCGUCCCGGCCCGGAGAGUACCCGGAGAAAAAGCAUCGGCUAACUCCGUGCCAGCAGCCGCGGUAAUACGGAGGAUGCGAGAGUUAUCCGGAUUUAUUGGGUUUAAAGGGUGCGUAGGAGGGCUUUUAAGUCAGCGGUAAAAAUUUGGGGCUCAACACCGUCCGCCCGGUGAA
RNAcentral lists this ribosomal RNA (296 nucleotides) under uncultured bacterium. Its description in RNAcentral is "partial 16S ribosomal RNA". It matches the Rfam family "Bacterial small subunit ribosomal RNA", at positions 338 to 631 of the family's 1533-position model. The record is from RNAcentral.